UACGUAGGGGGCAAGCGUUGUCCGGAAUUAUUGGGCGUAAAGCGCGCGCAGGCGGCCUGGAAAGUCUGGUGUUUAAACCCGGGGCUCAACCCCGGGACGCACCGGAAACUGCCAGGCUGGAGUGCAGAAGAGGAAAGUGGAAUUCCACGUGUAGCGGUGAAAUGCGUAGAGAUGUGGAGGAACACCAGUGGCGAAGGCGACUUUCUGGGCUGUCACUGACGCUGAGGCGCGAAAGCGUGGGGAGCAAACAGG
RNAcentral lists this ribosomal RNA (252 nucleotides) under uncultured bacterium. RNAcentral's name for it is "partial 16S ribosomal RNA". It matches the Rfam family "Bacterial small subunit ribosomal RNA", at positions 524 to 776 of the family's 1533-position model. The record is from RNAcentral.